Molecule: ribosomal RNA, 564 nt
Filed under: uncultured Glomeromycotina
Lineage: Eukaryota; Fungi; Glomeromycota
Description: SSU rRNA
Rfam family: Eukaryotic small subunit ribosomal RNA
Source: RNAcentral
UUGGAGGGCAAGUCUGGUGCCAGCAGCCGCGGUAAUUCCAGCUCCAAUAGCGUAUAUUAAAGUUGCUGCAGUUAAAAAGCUCGUAGUUGAAUUUCGGGACCAAUAUGUCGGUCGUGCCUCGGUACGUACUGGCAUCGUUGGUUUCUCCCUUCUGGCGAACCAUGAUGUCAUUUAUUUGGUGUCGUGGGGAAUCAGGACUGUUACUUUGAAAAAAUUAGAGUGUUUAAAGCAGGCUCACGCUUGAAUACAUUAGCAUGGAAUAAUGAAAUAGGACGUUUGAUUCUAUUUUGUUGGUUUCUAGGAUCGACGUAAUGAUUAAUAGGGAUAGUUGGGGGCAUUAGUAUUCAAUUGUCAGAGGUGAAAUUCUUGGAUUUAUUGAAGACUAACUACUGCGAAAGCAUUUGCCAAGGAUGUUUUCAUUAAUCAAGAACGAGAGUUAGGGGAUCGAAGACGAUCAGAUACCGUCGUAGUCUUAACCAUAAACUAUGCCGACUAGGGAUCGGAUGAUGUUAAUUUUUUAAUGACUCAUUCGGCGCCUUACGGGAAACCAAAGUGUUUGGGUUC